CACAUAGUUCUGCUGCCCGCUGCACUGAAACAGUUAAACCAGUUUGCUGUUAAGCAAAGCUUUUGGGCCACAUCAGAAGGCAAAUAGUCAUUACAUGAGGGAGCUGUGGGAGAGGCAAACAUUGGGAUGGGCUGUACCCUGUCUGGCUGCACAAAGGCACACUCCUCCUUAGCAUGCUAUAAACCAGCACUGAGUAAUACCAGUUCCAACAAGCCUUUCUCUUCUCCCCCCUGAGGGGAUCUCUCUGUAUUACCUACCCCAGACAAUGUGACCCGCCCAUCCAAAGCCCCUUCUCACUAACCCCCUCCCCAGUUUCACAGCACACAGGGGAAUGUGGUUACUCACGCAACAUCUGUAGAGGUUGAAGUGUACAUUUGUCUGGGCACUGCAUAAAGGAGCUGGCAGACAUUACCAACGGAGAUAAUGUGAUCUAGAGGACCAGUGGUUUCUUUACCCCUGAGCAUUUGCAUAAUUGGUUUCCCUUAGGAUAAGAAGCAGUUGGCAGCCUAAACAUGAAUUGCAGUGAUACUUCUCGCCUCAGGAGUCUUUUGACUCGGCUUCUCCAAGAACUUGGCAAGGCCAACAGCACCAGUGUCCCAGUGGAAGAAGAUGAUAACGAUGAUGCUUACUUGUAUAUUCUGCUCAUCAUGAUCUUCUAUGGCUGCCUGGCAGGGGGCCUCAUCCUGGCUUAUACCAGAUCCAGAAAGCAGGAGUCCAAGAAUGACCCUUACCACCUCUAUAUAGAAAGGGAAUGGAAUAAGAAGAUUCCUAAUAUUGUGGUGUAUGAACAAAGGGGGAGUAUAGAAAGUGAACAAUUACUGUGAAAAGGUUAACUUGCAUCAGAAUUUUAAUCCAAUAAGAGAUGUGAAUUCCGCAAGAGAAGAAGUUCCAUGCAGCAAGUGUAUAAAGAAAGGGAACUUACAUGAGCUUCGAGCUACAAGAAGCACUCUUUUAUGCUCCAGAAAUCAGAAGGCAUAAAUAAAGGACACAAAUGUGUUUGGGAGAGGAUGCUGCCCUUACCUUCUGCAACUGGAGCAAUACCCAUUCUAAGCUGUAGCAUUAUAAUAGGGAAUAUUGGUCUCUCACUGCUCCAGAAAGGACAGGAGGUCUUAAUGUCAGGUAUUAGCUCCCUGCCAGGGUGUAUGUUGAUAAUAGCCUAUCAUGACUCUGCCAGUCAUAUGGAAUAUGGUUAAUUACCAGUGGGUAACAAAAGAGACAUUGUAUAUAGGGUCUGUUGGGGACCUGACUAAAGCAUAUUUGCAUUAUAAAUGUGCAAGCCAUAAUAAAACCGUCUCUGUCUACUGUAAUCAUCAAUUUAUGGGGGGGCCAUGUUAAUAAUGUAUAUAAAACUGUUGUAAUCAAAUUAAGCCACA
Non-coding RNA from Xenopus tropicalis (tropical clawed frog), 1373 nucleotides. The record is from RefSeq and is a predicted model, not a curated record. NCBI's taxonomy places the organism in Eukaryota, Metazoa, Chordata, Amphibia, Anura, Pipidae.